AAAAUAAGUCAGCUCCCAAGGAGACUUAUUUUUGACACAUCAAGAAUUAUUCGCUCGUUCACGAAUUGUAGGAUCUUAGUAGUCCAUGAUGUAUGUAACUUGACAAGGGACUUUAAUAAAUGACCAUUAAUAAUUAUACAACCAAGCAAUCAAGUCUGGUCACUACAAAAUGGCGACGAGGAAUAAAAUUUUUAACCAAAGUAAUUGCGCCACGGACUUUAUCAAAAACAAAAUCAAGAAAGGGAUAUUACGGAGUACUAAUUAUUUAUACCUCACCCAAACCGCUACAAUGUUAGAGGUCUGUAAAGGACGCCGUUUCAAGUUUCCAAAAAGCUUGAAGAGAACAGUGGAGCAAUAAUAGUUCGUAAUCAGCAAGUUCGGAUCACUUUUCUAAGAUAUACAACUAGAAGGAAAACAUUGGAAGUAGACGGAUGUUGAUGUUGAUUGCCUUAAAACGGUGAUAACUAAAGGUAGUAUACUGCAUUGGUAUGUGUUGUGUACAUUUAUUUUCCCACAUCGAUCAUUAUGAGAUUACGAUAUGGCCACAGAGGGCUGAGCUUCCAGCGGCCUUCUUCAAGAUGUGAUCGGAAUUUGGGUCGGAACCAAGAUUCAAAGCCAAGACAAUACCGGCACAACAAGUCGGGUGAUAUAUUGCGCCUCGGUCGAAACGGAACCACUUUUUCAACAUCGGACUGCGUUAGUUUUUCUUCUUCCCAUGGACUGGCUUAACUGUGUAUACUUACCAGCAGAAUACAGUAGAUAGGAUGUUCAUUUCGGAUACGGUCACACAGAAAUUGUUACCCAAAACGAACAGUUGGUCACCGGAUGAACUAGACUUUAACGUUACCAUCGCAGAGAAUAAUCACGAUGGAGAUGCUAAGCACAAGGAUAGCAUUAUCAUUGAAUCUGCAAGAUAGUAUCAUAACUGGGCUGCCGCUGACGUUACUCAAGUGUGAAAGCGUGGAUGUGGACAAAAGUCGGGCUACCAAACUGAACAUCUGGGAAAGGUUUAGGCCGAGGGUGAACUCGCCAAAGACACUAAAAUAAAGAUUAACAAAUUAACUGUUUAAAUGCAUUCAAUUUUAGAUUGAAAGAUGUUUAUCAAAGUAAGAUCUUGUUAUAGAGGAGCGAAAGUUAAGUAUAUUUACAAUGUCUAUACAAAACAAAAAAGAUGCUUACGUAAUAAUUGACCGAACCCUAUACGUGCAUCUUAUUGCCGAGUUUAGACACAUUGACUAAAAAAGUACCCAUGCCCAAGUAAAUUAAGAAGGUCCCAAUUAGUUCUUCACCCCACCCUAUAGCUAGGCAUGCUGUUUCGCUCAAGAAAAGUAAAAAUUUCU
Molecule: long non-coding RNA, 1340 nt
Organism: Aedes aegypti (yellow fever mosquito)
Lineage: Eukaryota; Metazoa; Arthropoda; Insecta; Diptera; Culicidae
Exons: 3
Source: RefSeq, a predicted model, not a curated record